Molecule: non-coding RNA, 1398 nt
Organism: Pelobates cultripes (western spadefoot toad)
Lineage: Eukaryota; Metazoa; Chordata; Amphibia; Anura; Pelobatidae
Source: the annotation of a GenBank genome assembly
CACCAAUACCUCGUUAAUAAAUAUACUCUGGACGCCAAAGACACUACGACCCAAAGACAAUACACUCCUCCCCACUACCAUACUAACCCUACAUCACUGGGACAACACAUCAAAAGCAAAAUGCCACCUACAAAUUCCACCCAUGCUCACCAUUGACAACCCUAAAAGCAAUCUCAUCCUUGCUCUCACUGAACUCGUGGGCCAAAUACGGGGUAAACACGCUCGACCAAGUCCUCCACCUAAAUCGCAUUAAGCCCUUCCCAGACCUACAAAAAGAAUUCCACCUGCCCAACUCCUCCGUGUUUCUCUACAUGCAACUCAAAAGCAUCAUUCCUUCUCAUGUCUCACACAACACUGUAGCUGACAGCUCCGACUUACCAGACCUAGAAGCUCUAUACGACAGAUGCUGGCAGGCCCCAACCAAACCCAAAUCCCUUACCUCAUGCUACAAAACUAUUUUACGAUUAUCACCACCUCAACCCCCAACAUUUGUGAAACAGUGGCUGUCAGAAUGCGAUCUAUUGACAUCCGAUACAGAAAUCCUAGCUUCUCUGAAGGGGCUCACACGAUGCUACUCCCACAUUGAAGCACACAAAACUGGUAUACAGGUGGUACCUCACACCCCAGAGGCUCCAUAAAAUGUAUAAAACGGUUCCCCCUCACUGCUGGAGGUGCGGGAUAGGCAAUGGCACAAUAACUCACAUUUGGUGGUCGUGUCUACGCAUACGCCCACUAUGGAAAGACGCACAAAACAUAAUGCAAACCAUUGGCAACACCACACCAACCCUUGAUAUACACACAGGCCUAUUUUUAAUGUACCCCAAACCCACGCCAAAGCAUAUAAAAAGCGUCAUGGCAAUCAUGGCAUUAGCGGUGAGAAAUCUCAUAGCAAACCAUUAAACUUCCACAGUGCCCCUCCAAACCCAACCGAUUAGCAAAAAUACAUCAAUACUAUAUCCAUGAACGCUUAUCUACCCAUACAGCAGCACUCAGGACAAAUCUCCUAAUCUCAAGGGCAGCAUACUGUGACAAACCCCGAUCAAGGCAGAACCCUAAAGGGCCCAACACCUCCAAAAUCCAACUCAGAACCAGAAACUAUGUAAAACCGGGCACAGCAUUUGAAGAAGACGAGAUCAUAUCCAGAUAUCACACAAUGCUAGACACUUGCAAAGGUAACACAAAAAACGUGCAUAGCAAUAAGAUAUAGGAGGAGAUACGGCAUACACACUACACAAUGUACUACAAUUGUCAAGCAAAUGAGUAAAGACCCAUGUAUAAUGUAUCCCAUGUACCGUAUCUCAUGUAUUGUAUACUGUGUAUUACUUAUGCAACAUCAAGUUGUAUCACACACUAAGCAACAUCAUUGACAACUUUGUUACCCCCUACACCAUCCCCCCC